This 566-nucleotide ribosomal RNA is filed under the name uncultured bacterium. RNAcentral describes it as "partial 16S ribosomal RNA". It matches the Rfam family "Bacterial small subunit ribosomal RNA", at positions 355 to 914 of the family's 1533-position model. The record is from RNAcentral.
UGGGGAAUUUUGGACAAUGGGCGAAAGCCUGAUCCAGCAAUGCCGCGUGUGUGAAGAAGGCCUUCGGGUUGUAAAGCACUUUUGUCCGGAAAGAAAUCCUUGGCUCUAAUACAGUCGGGGGAUGACGGUACCGGAAGAAUAAGCACCGGCUAACUACGUGCCAGCAGCCGCGGUAAUACGUAGGGUGCAAGCGUUAAUCGGAAUUACUGGGCGUAAAGCGUGCGCAGGCGGUUUGCUAAGACCGAUGUGAAAUCCCCGGGCUCAACCUGGGAACUGCAUUGGUGACUGGCAGGCUAGAGUAUGGCAGAGGGGGGUAGAAUUCCACGUGUAGCAGUGAAAUGCGUAGAGAUGUGGAGGAAUACGAUGGCGAAGGCAGCCCCCUGGGCCAAUACUGACGCUCAUGCACGAAAAGCGUGGGGAGCAAACAGGAUUAGAUACCCUGGUAGUCCACGCCCUAAAACGAUGUCAACUAGUUGUUGGGGAUUCAUUCCUUAGUAACGUAGCUAACGCGUGAAGUUGACCGCCUGGGGAGUACGGUCGCAAGAUUAAAACUUAAAUGAAUUGAC